UUCCACUGUUGGCGAUCAUGGUCACCCUCGAUCGCUGAUAACAAGUAAGACCAGUGGCGCUGGCCCUCUUUAUAUCUGGGACAUACGUUGCCCUCAGAAACUCCGGAGGUGGAUUUAGGGGGCGGGCUGCUUCAUGGGAGCCGAUGGGAGCACCUGACAGCCCAUCCACUCCUGGGCCGUGUAGCACCAUCUGCCAGGGUUGAACACGCACUCACCCCAGGACACGGCAGUUCCACUCCUAGGCACUGACCCAAGGCAGGUGGAAGCCUGCAUCAAGCACUAGUUCACGGAUGGCGAUACCCUCUGCUCAUAGACACCGAGCUGCUCAAGCUCAUAGUAAACCACUCGAGAGCAUCAUGAAAGGCCAACCACCAGCCAGACAAGGACACCUACGUUGCAUCCAUUCAUUCAACAGACCCUGCAUGAAUAUGCCAUGUCUGCACCAAAAUGUAUGCAGAAAGGUGACUGAUAACACUCUGCAACCACGGCUCAGUGUGUCGGGCAUAGAACAACCACCGAGACCAGUCCCUGUGUGCACGCGGAGGCCACUGCUCUCUGACCUAUCCAUUCCUGGCUGGAAGAUGGGGAACUCAUGGGCAUGGCGAGCCUCCUAUGUUUGUGUGCAUGUGUGUGUCUGUGAGUGUGUGUGUCUGUGUGCGUGA
This 662-nucleotide long non-coding RNA is filed under the name Ictidomys tridecemlineatus (thirteen-lined ground squirrel). RNAcentral describes it as "lncRNA (ENSSTOG00000032392.1)". The record is from RNAcentral. Lineage: Eukaryota; Metazoa; Chordata; Mammalia; Rodentia; Sciuridae.